GAAAAAUUCCCUCAUUUCACCCAUAACUCUUUCUCUCUUCUCUCUCUCUCUCUUCUCUCUCUUCUCUCCACCACCGCCGCCGCCGCCGGAAAUCACCCACCGGCGGCGGACCACCUCCAAAUUAACACCAUAUAAUCUCCACAACCUCCUCUUCCCAUAUCUCCAAACCAAUUCCUUCAAGAAACCUUCAAACUCCUUGAAUUUUAGAUCUAAGAAACUUUAGCCGCCACUUUUUGGUCCAAAUUCUUGAAGCUCCGGCCAACAUCACCCUACAACACAUACAUGAAUGGAUAGAGCUCCACGAGACCUAUCUUUUCCUACCCAUUUUACCCCCAAAAUCCCCGUCGCCGCCACGGCUCCACCGCCGCACCUCCGCCAAAAUGCCCCGAACCCCCAUUUUAGCUAUUUUUCGGUUUCAAGCAUAUUUGUUAGGUAUAAUCGUCAUCUCUUUAAUUAAUUUCUGAUUUUUUUUAUUUAGUAGAUUAGUUUCUGAUUUUUUUAUAUAUAUUUAUUUAUUUAUUUAUUUAUUUAUUCUGUUUUGGUUAUUUCUUGUUAAUUAGAGUUUCAAGUUAGGUUUAUUUAAUUAGCUAUCUCUAUUUAGUUUAGUGGUUUGUUAGAUUCGUUAUUGAUUUAAACAUGAUCUUUAGUGUAUUAGUUAAAUCGUUCACUUAGUUAGUCGAUUAUUUAGUUGUUGUUAGUCGUUAUUCGAUUAUUAACGAUGCCCGUUCUGUUUUGAGAAUUAGUUUGUGAAUUUAGUUAUUUGUUUAGUAAUUAGUUUGCACAAAUCCAAUUCAUUCCCAUCAAGUUGGUUUUAAUACUUAGUUCAAUUACGUUUUUAGUCUCGUCUAUGCUUUGUCAGUUCAUAGUUGUCCAAGUUUGAUUUGUGUUGAGCAAGUAGUUUGUUGUUGAUAUUUAAAAUCUGAAGUUUAGUUUAUUUUAUCACAAAAUAAGGGUAAUAGUAGCUUACUUUUACUAGUGGGGUGGCUGAAAGGACAUUUUUUCUCCUUGCUUCUGACACAGCAGAUUUUCAGGCUGUCCUUUCACCUUUGGGACAGACCUUGAACAGUGUUUAGUACACAAAGUCAGUCUUUUGGACAGAUUUUUGGUGAAACAAAAUCUGUCCAAAAAUCUAACUUUAUUUGCCUAUUGAAAGGGUUGUUUUUCUCCUAUAAAAGGGACUGUCUUACACUUAGAAUGCAGAGUUCCUUACUCACUGAAAAGGGGGACACUCUAUUACACACUCUAUCUUAUACUGAGACACAUCUUGGAGAGUUGCUUAAAGACAUAUAUCUUUGAGAAAAAUCAGCAGCUUAAUACAUAUAACAAGCUGAAAUUUCAGAGUUUUGUGAGGAUUGUUUGAGUGCAAAAACCUUGAGAAAAAUAGAAAGAUCCCUUAGGCAAUUUGUGAAGUUGAUAGCUACUAGUUUCAAGCAUUUUUGUUGAGUUUUCUGGGUUGUCUUAACACUUGAGUUGCUGCUGUUUCUAUUGUAUUUGCUGUUGAGUUUUUUUGUUGCUGCACUGCUGUAUUUUAUUAUUCUACAAACCAGGUAACUUUCAAAUUCUUAUAUUGCAGAUUCUUAAUGAUAAUAAGAAGGAUUUGAUCCCGGUUUGGUUGAUAGAACAUAUUAGAUCUGAUUUUGCUUCAAGAUGAAUGUUAUAUUAGUGUUAUUAUCAUGUAAAUCUGUUAAAGAUUAGUUAAAUUAUUAUUUUUUUCUUUAUAUAUGUGAUUGAAAUUGCAUUAUGUUAAGAUUACUUAGUUUAAGGAAAAGAUAAAGACCCCACUUUUAACCAUGUUUGUUUAGUUUGAGCUCUUUUUCGUGAGUUACUUUCAUGGUUCAUGUAUAAUUAUCUAAGAAAGACUUCUAGCUUUAAAUGUUUUGAUGCUUUGAAUUAUAGUCAACAUAAUGUUAUACUUAAUAUAGUUGUUCUCUUUA
Molecule: long non-coding RNA, 1934 nt
Filed under: Nicotiana tabacum (common tobacco)
Lineage: Eukaryota; Viridiplantae; Streptophyta; Magnoliopsida; Solanales; Solanaceae
Description: long non-coding RNA (NTAB_LNC017076)
Source: RNAcentral